Long non-coding RNA from Galeopterus variegatus (Sunda flying lemur), 433 nucleotides. RefSeq lists it as uncharacterized. Lineage: Eukaryota; Metazoa; Chordata; Mammalia; Dermoptera; Cynocephalidae. The record is from RefSeq and is a predicted model, not a curated record. The transcript is spliced from 3 exons.
CAGCCCCGCGGAAACCAUAGCAACGGGCAGCCUGAAGAUGCGGCCAUUCAUCUUCCUUUUGUCCUUUGCAUUUCAGCGGCGCCCCGCGCACGUGGACGCUCCAAUUACAGCCGGAUGUCUCUUCUUCAGGAAGCCUCCUCUGGUCCACAGGGCUGUGUUAGGAAUCCUCCUUGGGUUUCCAAGUCAUCCUCUGCUUUUCACUCUGCGUCUGUUUGUGUCUACUUCCUCUGGACUGUGAACUCCUUGAGGGAGCUUGAUUGGCCUCCAGUAGUAUCAAUCUGGAUGUGUGGGGGAGUUAACGUCAUGGAGGUAGCAACUCUUAACCAAUCGAGUAUGGGAGUGGAUAGAUAAAUACCACAGUUUCUCAGAUCUCUAGGGAGAUGGUUCUGAAACAUGAUUUUCCAGCAGAGUGAAGCUCUGGUUGCCCACAGUG